This 468-nucleotide ribosomal RNA is filed under the name uncultured bacterium. RNAcentral describes it as "partial 16S ribosomal RNA". It matches the Rfam family "Bacterial small subunit ribosomal RNA", at positions 28 to 507 of the family's 1533-position model. The record is from RNAcentral.
GACGAACGCUGGCGGCGUGCUUAACACAUGCAAGUCGAACGGAAAGGCCCUGCUUUUGUGGGGUGCUCGAGUGGCGAACGGGUGAGUAACACGUGAGUAACCUGCCCUUGACUUUGGGAUAACUUCAGGAAACUGGGGCUAAUACCGGAUAGGAGCUCCUGCUGCAUGGGGGGGGUUGGAAAGUUUCGGCGGUUGGGGGUGGACUCGCGGCUUAUCAGCUGGUUGGUGGGGUAGUGGCUUACCAAGGCUUUGACGGGUAGCCGGCCUGGGAGGGUGACCGGCCACAUUGGGACUGAGAUACGGCCCAGACUCCUACGGGAGGCAGCAGUGGGGAAUAUUGCACAAUGGGCGGAAGCCUGAUGCAGCAACGCCGCGUGCGGGAUGACGGCCUUCGGGUUGUAAACCGCUUUCGCCUGUGACGAAGCGUGAGUGACGGUAAUGGGUAAAGAAGCACCGGCUAACUACGUG